RNAcentral lists this non-coding RNA (461 nucleotides) under Skermanella aerolata KACC 11604. RNAcentral's name for it is "bacterial SSU rRNA". It matches the Rfam family "Bacterial small subunit ribosomal RNA", at positions 947 to 1408 of the family's 1533-position model. The record is from RNAcentral. Lineage: Bacteria; Pseudomonadati; Pseudomonadota; Alphaproteobacteria; Rhodospirillales; Azospirillaceae.
UAAUUCGAUGCAACGCGAAGAACCUUACCUACUCUUGACAUCCAGAGAACUUUCCAGAGAUGGAUUGGUGCCUUCGGGAACUCUGAGACAGGUGCUGCAUGGCUGUCGUCAGCUCGUGUUGUGAAAUGUUGGGUUAAGUCCCGCAACGAGCGCAACCCUUAUCCUUUGUUGCCAGCGGUUCGGCCGGGAACUCAAAGGAGACUGCCAGUGAUAAACUGGAGGAAGGUGGGGAUGACGUCAAGUCAUCAUGGCCCUUACGAGUAGGGCUACACACGUGCUACAAUGGCGUAUACAAAGAGAAGCGACCUCGCGAGAGCAAGCGGACCUCAUAAAGUACGUCGUAGUCCGGAUUGGAGUCUGCAACUCGACUCCAUGAAGUCGGAAUCGCUAGUAAUCGUAGAUCAGAAUGCUACGGUGAAUACGUUCCCGGGCCUUGUACACACCGCCCGUCACACCAUGGG